GAUGAACGCUGGCGGCGUGCCUAAUACAUGCAAGUCGAGCGAACGGACGAGAAGCUUGCUUCUCUGAUGUUAGCGGCGGACGGGUGAGUAACACGUGGAUAACCUACCUAUAAGACUGGGAUAACUUCGGGAAACCGGAGCUAAUACCGGAUGAUAUUUUGAACCGCAUGGUUCAAAAGUGAAAGACGGUCUUGCUGUCACUUAUAGAUGGAUCCGCGCUGCAUUAGCUAGUUGGUAAGGUAACGGCUUACCAAGGCAACGAUGCAUAGCCGACCUGAGAGGGUGAUCGGCCACACUGGAACUGAGACACGGUCCAGACUCCUACGGGAGGCAGCAGUAGGGACUCUUACGCGAUGGGGGAAAGCCUGACGGAGCAACGCCGCGUGAAUGAUGAAGGUCUUCGGAUCGUAAAACUCUGUUAUUAGGGAAGAACAUAUGUGUAAGUAACUGUGCACAUCUUGACGGUACCUAAUCAGAAAGCCACGGCUAACUACGUG
Molecule: ribosomal RNA, 497 nt
Filed under: uncultured bacterium
Lineage: Bacteria
Description: partial 16S ribosomal RNA
Rfam family: Bacterial small subunit ribosomal RNA
Source: RNAcentral